CUACGGGGCGCAGCAGUAGGGAAUAUUGCGCAAUGGAGGAAACUCUGACGCAGCGACGCCGCGUGAGUGAUGAAGGCCCUCGGGUUGUAAAGCUCUGUUCUUAGGGAAUAAAAAAAUGAAGGUACCUAAGAAGAAAGGACCGGCUAACUUCGUGCCAGCAGCCGCGGUAAGACGAGGGGUCCAAGCGUUGUUCGGAAUCAUUGGGCGUAAAGCGGGUGUAGGUGGCUGAAUAAGUCAGAAGUGAAAGCCCCGGGCUCAACCCGGGAAGUGCUUUUGAUACUGUUUGGCUUGAGUGUGGUAGAGGAUAGUAGAAUUCCAGGUGUAGUGGUGAAAUACGUAGAUAUCUGGAGGAACACCGGAGGGGAAGCCGGCUGUCUGGACCAACACUGACACUCAGACCCGAAAGCGUGGGGAGCAAACAGGAUUAGAUACCCGUGUAGUC
RNAcentral lists this ribosomal RNA (442 nucleotides) under uncultured bacterium. RNAcentral's name for it is "partial 16S ribosomal RNA". It matches the Rfam family "Bacterial small subunit ribosomal RNA", at positions 339 to 795 of the family's 1533-position model. The record is from RNAcentral.